This 253-nucleotide ribosomal RNA is filed under the name uncultured bacterium. RNAcentral's name for it is "partial 16S ribosomal RNA". It matches the Rfam family "Bacterial small subunit ribosomal RNA", at positions 524 to 776 of the family's 1533-position model. The record is from RNAcentral.
GACAGAGGGUGCAAACGUUGUUCGGAAUUACUGGGCGUAAAGCGCGUGUAGGCUGCUCAGAAAGUCGGAUGUGAAAGCCCUGGGCUUAACCUGGGAAGUGCAUUCGAAACUUCCGAGCUGGAGUUCUGGAGAGGAAGGCGGAAUUCUCGGUGUAGAGGUGAAAUUCGUAGAUAUCGAGAGGAACACCGGUGGCGAAGGCGGCCUUCUGGACAGUGACUGACGCUGAGACGCGAAAGCGUGGGGAGCAAACAGG